UAGUGUGAACUGACAUCUGACUUUGAGUAUCCUAUCUCAAAACAAGAUUUAAAGUUGCCUGUGAGUUACCACGCACUUUGAUGUGAUGUUGAGGAACAAUAUGUACGGAUUAGUGCAUUUGCUCAACAAAUGUGGAUUCAGCUCUUGCAACAUCUCAAGUAUGCUUCUAUGCAUUGGGGAACCACAGUGAAUGGACAGAGAAGAUGCCUGCACUUAUGGAACUCCCAGCCUAGCUCACAGCUAAACGUCCUUGAGGUCUAUCCAAGUUGCUGGUGGAUUAAUAGUUAUUCCUCUUGAAUUGCUGAGCAGAAUCCCAGGUAUGAAUGUACCAGUUUGUUUACCCAUUCAUUCACUGAACGACAUUUCUGUUCCCUUUACACUCCUAAAUAUUGAUGACUCCAAGUCGCUUCUGUUUAAAUGUAUUAUAUAGACAUUUUCCACGUUAGAAAUUCAAACAAAGGCA
RNAcentral lists this long non-coding RNA (463 nucleotides) under Homo sapiens (human). RNAcentral describes it as "HSALNT0364637". The record is from RNAcentral. Lineage: Eukaryota; Metazoa; Chordata; Mammalia; Primates; Hominidae.